ACAGAUCAAAGCAAAAGAUUACAAAGCAUGCUUACAAAACUAAACUCCCCCUCAGCCUGAUGCUCCAAGGUUGGUUGCUCAAGAUGAAAGGAUUGGACUAGAGGAGAAGAACCCACUCAGUCAAUCAAAUGUAACAGUACAGGGUACUAUUGCAUUUAUAGGCAAUCCAAACCACUGAGGCAUCUCAGCUGACGUCACUAUGAAAGUGACAUCUAACAAACUAACAAACUCUAUCUACUGUUCUACAACUACUGACCAUACAUACACUGAUUACAUUCUUAACACUGAUUCUUCAUUCCAUUGAUGUAGUCAGCCACUGUUGGUUGAGCAUCAGAGCUUUCUUCAAAGGGUGAUCAGACCUUGAAUGGGCAGUGCUUUAAUUCUUCAGCAGUGCUUGGAUUCCGUCAGUAGAUUGAGCUUCAGCCUUUAAACUUUAUCAGUGCUUUGGCUUAACAGUAGUUUCCAGAAUUAGCAGUUGUUGAGAAGGGCAGUACUUGGAGCAUAUCAGAUGUUGGAGUCACAGUCAAGGGGAAAGCUUAUAGUAAACACCUGCUUAUUAUGUAUCCAUUGUUGUGAUCCGGUUUUGGCUUUCAUUAUCUGUUCCUCUGGUAGGGUUCAAUUGUGACAACUCGUAUGUGAGACCCCUCUUUGUGUGUUUCGAUACAACUUGUUUGAACUAUACGUGACUAGUGGACGUGUUUGAUUGUAAUGUAAUAUUAUGCAUUAUGUGCUAUGUGAUGAUAUGUGAAUGUUAUAAGUUUGGUUGCAUAACACUUGUCCGGUCGCACAAGCCAUUGGGCUGCACUUUAAUCCUUUUCUCUCACACGCUACCCGGCCCACUAUCACUAUACUUGGCCAACUCGAGACUAAGGGCAACCCAUCAAUGGGUUCGGCCCACUUCUCAUAUGCAUACAUGAACCUUUAGGGGGUGUAGUUUCUCAUUACUUGCAAAACACCAACACACACAAACCCUAAGCUCUCUCCUUUUCUCUCCCUUGGAACCGGACGGCAGCCCCACUCGAAGCCUUUCUCCUUCGUUUCAAUCCAACCCUCUUGAACAUCACGGACGUGGUUGACCACCAUAUAGCUUGGUUGACUUUUCUAUGUAUCUGCCGAGCAAACCAAGGACAAUAGGUACUCAUGAAGCUUGCACGGGAGGCGCGGUCGUUGUGGGCCCGAAUCGAGGAUGUUAUGUUAAACACUUUUAUGACAUUUCAACUUAAUACUUACGCUGGGUUUUACAUUAUUGCUUCCGCUACACUUGAUUAUGUUUGGUU
Molecule: long non-coding RNA, 1277 nt
Filed under: Helianthus annuus (common sunflower)
Lineage: Eukaryota; Viridiplantae; Streptophyta; Magnoliopsida; Asterales; Asteraceae
Description: hypothetical non coding rna
Source: RNAcentral